AAGUCGUAACAAGGUUUCCGUAGGUGAACCUGCGGAAGGAUCAAUAACACGUAUCCAACGUUAAAACAACCCUGUGAACCUUCAUCAGUUUUCGCUCAACCCGUGGAAGCAGCAAUCCCUGGUAAAUCAUAGGGACCUCUGCCAGUGCAUGAGAAGUUAAAGUUGAGCUUGAGAACUGCUCAAGUGGCCUGGCAUCCCCAAGUAGUCAGUGUCUGAAAGUGUCACUGAUUAUGUAAGGAUGGCGCAGUAAACGAUCGCUGGAGGCCAUCACGGCCGGCGACCGGGUCACCGGGCUCUGCCCCUUAAUAACUCCUGACAAAACUAUAGCUACGCGUGAAAUUCGCAUAGCAUUAAAAACCGAACAACUGUUAACAAUGGAUAUCUUGGUUCUC
RNAcentral lists this unclassified non-coding RNA (392 nucleotides) under fungal sp. RNAcentral describes it as "partial internal transcribed spacer region". The stretch from base 1 to 46 matches the Rfam family "Eukaryotic small subunit ribosomal RNA", at positions 1786 to 1831 of the family's 1831-position model. The record is from RNAcentral. Lineage: Eukaryota; Fungi.